This 238-nucleotide long non-coding RNA is filed under the name Elaeis guineensis (African oil palm). RNAcentral describes it as "long non-coding RNA (EGUI_LNC029297)". Lineage: Eukaryota; Viridiplantae; Streptophyta; Magnoliopsida; Arecales; Arecaceae. The record is from RNAcentral.
AGGUGAGAAGAUUUGCAGCAAUAUUUGGUGCUAGAGGAAAGACCCUCUUCGACUAGUUUCGAAGUCCUAUUUCAAGACUAGUCCUAAGGUUUUAUUUUGAGAGGAUAGGGAGUUCAACACCGAUCGUCAUGAGGAUGUGCAAAAAAGCAUCAAAUGCAUCACAACGGUCUAAUGGUCAGCAGAUCAAUAAUAUCCAACCGACCACUACAUCACCACCACCGGCAUAGGAGAACCCUCC